AACGAACGCUGGCGGCAGGCCUAACACAUGCAAGUCGAACGAGAAGCUAGACUUCGGUUUAGUGGAAAGUGGCGCACGGGUGAGUAACGCGUGGGGACCUACCUUUCGGUGGAGGAUAACUAUUGGAAACGAUAGCUAAUACUGCAUACGCCCCUUUGGUAACAUUGGGGAAAGAUUUAUCGCCGAUAGAUGGACCCGCGUCUGAUUAGCUAGUUGGUGAGGUAAUGGCUCACCAAGGCGACGAUCAGUAGCUGGUUUGAGAGGAUGAUCAGCCACACUGGGACUGAGACACGGCCCAG
This 299-nucleotide ribosomal RNA is filed under the name uncultured bacterium. Its description in RNAcentral is "partial 16S ribosomal RNA". It matches the Rfam family "Bacterial small subunit ribosomal RNA", at positions 29 to 334 of the family's 1533-position model. The record is from RNAcentral.